Molecule: ribosomal RNA, 492 nt
Filed under: uncultured bacterium
Lineage: Bacteria
Description: partial 16S ribosomal RNA
Rfam family: Bacterial small subunit ribosomal RNA
Source: RNAcentral
AGUGAACGCUGGCGGUAGGCCUAACACAUGCAAGUCGAACGGCAGCACAGUAAGAGCUUGCUCUUACGGGUGGCGAGUGGCGGACGGGUGAGGAAUACAUCGGAAUCUACUUUUUCGUGGGGGAUAACGUAGGGAAACGUACGCGAAUACCGCAUACGACCUACGGGUGAAAGCAGGGGAUCUUCGGACCUUGCGCGAUUGAAUGAGCCGAUGUCGGAUUAGCUAGUUGGCGGGGUAAAGGCCCACCAAGGCGACGAUCCGUAGCUGGUCUGAGAGGAUGAUCAGCCACACUGGAACUGAGACACGGUCCAGACUCCUACGGGAGGCAGCAGUGGGGAAUAUUGGACAAUGGGCGCAAGCCUGAUCCAGCCAUACCGCGUGGGUGAAGAAGGCCUUCGGGUUGUAAAGCCCUUUUGUUGGGAAAGAAAAGCAGCAGGUUAAUACCCCGCUGUUCUGACGGUACCCAAAGAAUAAGCACCGGCUAACUUCGUG